CCGGCCUCCGCUCCGUUUCCCCAUUCCACCACCGCAACCACCCUUCCACCGUGCAUCCCGAGCCACCUCCACCAUACGCCGCCUCCAGCCGUGUGCCACCGUCGCCUUAGCCGCCGCCGCGUCGCUCCGUCUUCACCUCUCGCCUCGCAGCGCCGUGCAGCACCUCGGUCACCGUUGUUCAUCGCCGGAAACCCACCGGAACGUGGUACCUCUCGGUCGCCGGUCUUGCCGGCCCUCGGCCGCGGCUCCGCCAUGGUCGGGCGUCGUCGGACCGCCGUUCCCGUCGCCUCCCGUGUCGGCCGCCGCCAUCCUUUCCGCCGCCGGUCGCCUCCCCAUGGUCGUCCCGUCGCCGGCGCUCCUCGCGUGUAGUUUCCGUCGUUUCGGAAGUCCGCGGUCGCGAG
Molecule: non-coding RNA, 401 nt
Organism: Oryza sativa Japonica Group (Japanese rice)
Lineage: Eukaryota; Viridiplantae; Streptophyta; Magnoliopsida; Poales; Poaceae
Source: RefSeq, a predicted model, not a curated record